This 1622-nucleotide long non-coding RNA is filed under the name Macaca fascicularis (crab-eating macaque). RNAcentral's name for it is "lncRNA (ENSMFAG00000051586.1)". The record is from RNAcentral. Lineage: Eukaryota; Metazoa; Chordata; Mammalia; Primates; Cercopithecidae.
UCCCUGGUGCAGACCAAAGCCUGCUGCACCUGAAAGAACCCUGGCCCCGUCUCACCCCUGAAUGCGCUGGAUAUGAUCUCAUGGGGAAAGAAUCCACCUUGUUUUCCAAAGCCAAAAAUGAAACAAACCAAUUGUACUUGCAAUUCAUACUCGAUAUUUUCCAUCUCUGAGUUUGUAAACUAGAACAGAGGGAUUUAAGACAUACAAGAAAAGAAAAAAGUUGCUUAGAGAAAAAUUUAAGAAAAGGUCAGUGAUGCCAUCCAAACAGCCAUGAAGAGAUGACAGUCAUUACCCAAGGACUCUGAUGAUGGAGUUUGGGAGGCAGCCUGGGGUGGAGAAGAAAGUGAAUGGCUCAGGUUUCAGGCCAAGGUGGGUGUGCAUCUUGGCUCUGUCACUUACUAGCAGCAUAAGAAGAGCAAAGUGACCCAGCCUCUCCCAGCCUCAGUUUUCUCAUUCGUACAACAGUGGUAGCAGUGCCUACCCCAUUCUUGUCAGAAUCCCAUGCCGGCAUGUAGCACAUGGAGUGUGCUAGGACAUACAUGGCACUUCUAGCAGGGUGCUGGCACAGCCAGAAGCAGCGGUACGGGAGUGGCUUCCAUUACCCUCAAGUUGUUUAGGCCACAAUAACCCAGUGUGAUCAAACUUCCUCAUCUUUUGCAGACAGCCUUCCCAUACCACGACCCUAAACGUGGUACAAGAAGGUGUCCUGACAUUUUGAACAAUGUUUGCCAUAAAACCAAAUCUCCAUGCAUUUCCACAAGAGUGGCUAGAUAAUAUGAUAAAUCAUCUACAGAAAUGCAGGAUUCUUCGUGACUCAUUUAAAAAUAGAAAUGCUUUAUACUGUUAUCUACCAAUGGAAUGAAAUCGGCAUGCCUAUGGUCUCAACAAACUAGCGUGAUGGAGGGAGGCUCUAGAUCAUGCCAAAUGAAUUUUUAUCAAAUAUUAAUCCAAAUUCAUAUGCAGGAUUGUUCAUUAGAGAUGGAAUCCAGUGCCAGCAUUUACUGGGGACUAUAUUUCACAAAUUCCCCUACAUCUGACUUGAGGAAAAUCUGACUUUGAGCAAACGUUCAGCCCAGUGAGUGCUUCUUGAUCAUUACAAUGGCCUAAUAAUAGAAGAAGGUUUCCCGUAGGUAGAGUUAAAAUCAGCACAUUCAUUCAAGCACACACAGCAAUGAAAAGUAGAGGCAAAGUCAGAGCAUGAAAAAUAAGAUCUAGGGACUCUUCUCCCACACAUGUUGAACUUUAAAGUUAAGACAGUGAUGCCUAUAUGGGUAAUAGAUAAAUCCUCCAAACUUGAGGCAGCCUGGUCUUCAAAGUCCAGAAAAUUGUUUGCAGACUUGUCUCAGCCAUGAAUACAAGUUUUGGCUUACACAUUUAGGGUGAAUAAGGGAUCCAAUAAAUGAGAAUGUUGUAGUAUCUUCCCUCUGUGAACAGAAAUUUUAUGACAAAUUAGUGUUCUAGAAAAACAAGAGGUGCCUAAGAGGUUUCUAGCUUUGGUGGGCACAGAAAGAGCAUUCCAAGAAUGUACCAGGAGAUGCCCAGAAAGGAGGUCAAGGAGGCAGUGACAGAAACACAGAAAUGGAGACAGAAAUCAGAGACAGCCAUAAAAAAAAAAAAAAAAA